Molecule: RNase P RNA, 358 nt
Filed under: Chloroflexota bacterium
Lineage: Bacteria; Bacillati; Chloroflexota
Description: Chloroflexi bacterium RNase P RNA component class A
Rfam family: Bacterial RNase P class A
About the family: Ribonuclease P (RNase P) is a ubiquitous endoribonuclease, found in archaea, bacteria and eukarya as well as chloroplasts and mitochondria. Its best characterised activity is the generation of mature 5'-ends of tRNAs by cleaving the 5'-leader elements of precursor-tRNAs.
Source: RNAcentral
CCAGCAGGCUGGGUGAUCGCUCCCCGCUAAGGCGAGGAGAGGAAGGUCCGAGCUCCACCGGGCAGCGCGCUGGGUAACGCCCAGGCGGGGCAACCCGACGGAAAGUGGCACAGAAACAUACCGUCCUUCCACGGAAGGACAAGGGUGAAAUGGUGGGGUAAGAGCCCACCGGCUUCGGCGUGAGCCGGAGGCCGGCUAAACCCCGCGCGGAGCAAGGCCAAAUAGGGGAGUGCUAAGGGCGCCCGGCCCAAACUCCCGGGUUGGCUGCUAGAGGCGGUGGGUAACCGCCGUCCCAGAUUGAUGAUCGCCGUCCUUCUUCGGAAGGAUACAGAACUCGGCCUACAGGCCUGCUGGGCCU